CUUGGUCAUUUAGAGGAAGUAAAAGUCGUAACAAGGUUUCCGUAGGUGAACAUGCGGAAGGAUCAUUAAAAGUAAUAUGUAUUCUCACGAAUAUACAUUAUAAACCCAUCUGUGUAUCUUACCUGUUGCUUCCGCGAGCCAGUGAUCUCGGUCACCUCCGCGGGAUGGCGAAAGCCGUCCUCCGGGGAGCACUCGCGGGAGGUAUACAUCAAACUCUUGCAUUUUUAUGUCAUCUGUCUGAACUGUUUAUAACAAAUGUUAAAACUUUCAACAACGGAUCUCUUGGUUCUCGCAUCGAUGAAGAACGCAGCGAAAUGCGAUAAGUAGUGUGAAUUGCAGAAUUCAGUGAAUCAUCGAAUCUUUGAACGCACAUUGCGCCUCCUGGUAUUCCGGGAGGCAUGCCUGUUCGAGCGUCAUUAAAAACCACUCAAGCUCUUUUGCUUGGUAUUGGGAGAGGAGUGCACUCGUUGCCCUCCCUCCCGAAAUUCAAUGGCGGAAAGCCCCAUGUGCCCCGGCGUAGUAAGUUUUCUUUCGCUUGGAACGUGAGGUGAUCCUGCCGCAAACCCCCAAUUCUUUCUAGGUUGACCUCGGAUCAGGUAGGGAUACCCGCUGAACUUAAGCAUAUCAAUAAGCGGAGGA
RNAcentral lists this ribosomal RNA (639 nucleotides) under uncultured Kotlabaea. RNAcentral's name for it is "eukaryotic LSU rRNA". The stretch from base 263 to 416 matches the Rfam family "5.8S ribosomal RNA". Lineage: Eukaryota; Fungi; Ascomycota; Pezizomycetes; Pezizales; Pyronemataceae. The record is from RNAcentral.